RNAcentral lists this ribosomal RNA (429 nucleotides) under uncultured bacterium. RNAcentral's name for it is "bacterial SSU rRNA". It matches the Rfam family "Bacterial small subunit ribosomal RNA", at positions 355 to 775 of the family's 1533-position model. The record is from RNAcentral.
UGGGGAAUUGUUCGCAAUGGGCGAAAGCCUGACGACGCAACGCCGCGUGGAGGAUGAAGAAUUUCGGUUCGUAAACUCCUUUCGACCGAGAUGAAUACCCAUGGGUUUAAUACGCCUGUGGGCUGACAGUAUCGAGAGAAGAAGCCCCGGCUAACUCUGUGCCAGCAGCCGCGGUAAUACAGGGGGGGCAAGCGUUGUUCGGAAUUACUGGGCGUAAAGGGUUCGUAGGUGGCCACUUAAGUCAGACGUGAAAUCCCUCAGCUUAACUGGGGAACUGCGUCUGAUACUGAGUGGCUUGAGUGCAGGAGAGGAAUGCGGAAUUCCAGGUGUAGCGGUGAAAUGCGUAGAUAUCUGGAGGAACACCGGUGGCGAAGGCGGCAUUCUGGACUGUAACUGACACUGAGGAACGAAAGCCAGGGGAGCAAACGG